RNAcentral lists this ribosomal RNA (548 nucleotides) under uncultured Bifidobacterium sp. RNAcentral's name for it is "bacterial SSU rRNA". It matches the Rfam family "Bacterial small subunit ribosomal RNA", at positions 147 to 710 of the family's 1533-position model. The record is from RNAcentral. Lineage: Bacteria; Bacillati; Actinomycetota; Actinomycetes; Bifidobacteriales; Bifidobacteriaceae.
CUCCUGGAAACGGGUGGUAAUGCCGGAUGCUCCGCCCCCUCGCAUGGGGGGUCGGGAAGGCUUUUGCGGAAUGGGAUGGGGUCGCGUCCUAUCAGCUUGUUGGCGGGGCGACGGCCCACCAAGGCUUCGACGGGUAGCCGGCCUGAGAGGGCGACCGGCCACAUUGGGACUGAGAUACGGCCCAGACUCCUACGGGAGGCAGCAGUGGGGAAUAUUGCACAAUGGGGGGAACCCUGAUGCAGCGACGCCGCGUGCGGGAUGGAGGCCUUCGGGUCGUGAACCGCUUUUGAUUGGGAGCAAGCGUGAGUGAGUGUACCUUUCGAAUAAGCACCGGCUAACUACGUGCCAGCAGCCGCGGUAAUACGUAGGGUGCAAGCGUUGUCCGGAAUCAUUGGGCGUAAAGGGCCCGUAGGCGGUUCGUCGCGUCCGGUGUGAAAGCCCAUCGCUUAACGGUGGGUCUGCGCCGGGUACGGGCGGGCUUGAGUGCGGCAGGGGAGGCUGGAAUUCCCGGUGUAACGGUGGAAUGUGUAGAUAUCGGGAAGAACACC